This 495-nucleotide ribosomal RNA is filed under the name uncultured bacterium. RNAcentral's name for it is "SSU rRNA". It matches the Rfam family "Bacterial small subunit ribosomal RNA", at positions 26 to 521 of the family's 1533-position model. The record is from RNAcentral.
AGGACGAACGCUGGCGGCGUGCUUAACACAUGCAAGUGGAGCGACGAACCAGGGCUUGCCCUGGGGCAGAGCCGCGAACGGGUGAGUAACACGUGGGUUACCUGCCUCGAUGACCGGGACAACCCGAGGAAACUCGGGCUAAUACCGGAUGUGCCCGCAAGGGGAAAGGAAGCUUCGGCCUCCGCAUCGAGAUGGGCCCGCGGCCCAUUAGCUUGUUGGUGAGGUAAAGGCUCACCAAGGCUUCGAUGGGUAGCUGGUCUGAGAGGACGAUCAGCCACACUGGGACUGAGACACGGCCCAGACUCCUACGGGAGGCAGCAGUGGGGAAUCUUGCGCAAUGCGCGAAAGCGUGACGCAGCAACGCCGCGUGGGGGAAGAAGGCUUUCGGGUUGUAAACCCCUUUCAGUUGGGACGAAGCUCCGCCGGUGAAUAGCCGGACGGAGUGACGGUACCUUCACAAGAAGCACCGGCUAACUACGCGCCAGCAGCCGCGGU